AGCGAACGUUAGCGGCGGGCCUAACACAUGCAAGUCGAACGGGCAGUAGCAAUACUGUCAGUGGCGCACGGGUGAGUAACGCGUAGGUAAUCUACCCUUUGGCGGGGGAUAACGUUCCGAAAGGGACGCUAAUACCGCAUAAGACCACGACCUCUUCGGGGGUUGGGGAAAAGGUGGCCUCUUCUUGAAAGCCAUCACCGAAGGAUGAGCCUGCGUCCCAUCAGCUAGUUGGUAGGGUAAUGGCCUACCAAGGCGAAGACGGGUAGCUGGUCUGAGAGGAUGAUCAGCCACACUGGCACUGGAACACGGGCCAGACUCCUACGGGAGGCAGCAGUGGGGAAUAUUGGCAAUGGGCGCAAGCCUGACCCAGCCACGCCGCGUGAGCGAUGAAGGCC
RNAcentral lists this ribosomal RNA (395 nucleotides) under uncultured bacterium. Its description in RNAcentral is "bacterial SSU rRNA". It matches the Rfam family "Bacterial small subunit ribosomal RNA", at positions 29 to 416 of the family's 1533-position model. The record is from RNAcentral.